GAUGGACGCUAGCGGCAGGCCUAACACAUGCAAGUCGAGGGAGAGGUUACCUUCGGGUAACCAAAACCGGCGCACGGGUGCGUAACGCGUAUACAAUCUGCCUUUCACAUAGGGAUAGCCCGAAGAAAUUUGGAUUAAUACCUAAUGGUAUAUAAGAGCGGCAUCGUUUUUAUAUUAAAGCUACGGUGGUGAAAGAUGAGUAUGCGUUCUAUUAGCUAGUUGGAGAGGUAACGGCUCCCCAAGGCGACCAUAGAUGGGGGUUCUGAGAGGGAUGUCCCCCACUCUGGUAGUGACAUACGGACCAUACUCCUACGGGAGGCUCCUCUGAGGAAUAUUGGACAAUGGUCGGAAGACUGAUCCAGCCAUGCCGCGUGCAGGAUGAAGGUCCCAUGGAUUGUAUACUGCUUUUUCCUCGGAAGAGUCACGAGUACGAGUCCGUUGAUGACGGCACCUUACGAGUGAGGAUCGGCUCACUCCGUGCCACCAUCCGUGGUCAUACUGAGGAUGCGAGCGCUCUCCGGCAUCAUUAGGUUUAAAGGGCUCGUAUGCGGGCUGAUAAGCUAGAGGUGAAAGCGCAUGACUCACUAAGCAACUGCCUGUGUAAAUGUCAGUUUUUGACUGAUUGUAAAUAAGUUGGAAGAGAAGGGAACGCGCUCACGCUUUACAUAUUCGGCUU
RNAcentral lists this ribosomal RNA (676 nucleotides) under uncultured Capnocytophaga sp. RNAcentral describes it as "bacterial SSU rRNA". It matches the Rfam family "Bacterial small subunit ribosomal RNA", at positions 28 to 704 of the family's 1533-position model. Lineage: Bacteria; Pseudomonadati; Bacteroidota; Flavobacteriia; Flavobacteriales; Flavobacteriaceae. The record is from RNAcentral.